RNAcentral lists this ribosomal RNA (468 nucleotides) under uncultured bacterium. RNAcentral's name for it is "partial 16S ribosomal RNA". It matches the Rfam family "Bacterial small subunit ribosomal RNA", at positions 28 to 507 of the family's 1533-position model. The record is from RNAcentral.
GACGAACGCUGGCGGCGUGCUUAACACAUGCAAGUCGAACGGAAAGGCCCUGCUUUUGUUGGGUGCUCGAGUGGCGAACGGGUGAGUAACACGUGAGUAACCUGCCCCUGACUUUGGGAUAACUUCAGGAAACUGGGGCUAAUACCGCAUAGGAGCUCCUGCUGCAUGGUGGGGGAUGGAAAGUUUCGGCGGUUGGGGAUGGACUCGCGGCUUAUCAGCUUGUUGGUGGGGUAGUGGCUUACCAAGGCUUUGACGGGUAGCCGGCCUGAGAGGGUGACCGGCGACAUGGGGACUGAGAGACGGACCAGACGCCUACGGGAGGCAGCAGUGGGGAAUAUUGCACAAUGGGCGGAAGCCUGAUGCAGCAAUGCCGCGUGCGGGAUGCCGGCCUUCGGGUUGUAAACCGCUUUCGCCUGUGACGAAGCGUGAGUGACGGUAAUGGGUAAAGAAGCAACGGCUAACUACGUG